This 460-nucleotide ribosomal RNA is filed under the name uncultured bacterium. Its description in RNAcentral is "partial 16S ribosomal RNA". It matches the Rfam family "Bacterial small subunit ribosomal RNA", at positions 338 to 795 of the family's 1533-position model. The record is from RNAcentral.
CCUACGGGUGGCAGCAGUGAGGAAUAUUGGUCAAUGGACGCAAGUCUGAACCAGCCAUGCCGCGUGCAGGAAGACGGCUCUAUGAGUUGUAAACUGCUUUUGUACGAGGGUAAACGCAGAUACGCGUACCCGUCUGAAAGUAUCGUACGAAUAAGGAUCGGCUAACUCCGUGCCAGCAGCCGCGGUAAUACGGAGGAUUCAAGCGUUAUCCGGAUUUAUUGGGUUUAAAGGGUGCGUAGGCGGUCGGGUAAGUUAGAGGUGAAAGCCCGAGGCUCAACCUCGGAAUUGCCUUUGAUACUGGUCGGCUAGAGUGUAGUAGCGGUAGGCGGAAUGUAUGGUGUAGCGGUGAAAUGCUUAGAUAUCAUGCAGAACUCCGAUUCCGAAGGCAGCUUACCAAGCUACUUCUGACGUUGAGGCACGAAAGCGUGGGGAGCAAACAGGAUUAGAUACCCCUGUAGUC